GAUAACAUUUGGAAACAGAUGCUAAUACCGCAUAGAUCCAAGAACCGCAUGGUUCUUGGCUGAAAGAUGGCGUAAGCUAUCGCUUUUGGAUGGACCCGCGGCGUAUUAGCUAGUUGGUGAGGUAAUGGCUCACCAAGGCGAUGAUACGUAGCCGAACUGAGAGGUUGAUCGGCCACAUUGGGACUGAGACACGGCCCAAACUCCUACGGGAGGCAGCAGUAGGGAAUCUUCCACAAUGGACGCAAGUCUGAUGGAGCAACGCCUCGUGAGUGAAGAAGGCUUUCGGGUCGUAAAACUCUGUUGUUGGAUAAGAAUGGUCGGCAGAGUAACUGUUGUCGGCGUGACGGUAUCCAACCAGAAAGCCACUGCUAACUUACGUGCCUCAGCCGCGGUAAUAACGUAGGU
This 405-nucleotide ribosomal RNA is filed under the name Lacticaseibacillus paracasei. RNAcentral's name for it is "bacterial SSU rRNA". It matches the Rfam family "Bacterial small subunit ribosomal RNA", at positions 142 to 532 of the family's 1533-position model. Lineage: Bacteria; Bacillati; Bacillota; Bacilli; Lactobacillales; Lactobacillaceae. The record is from RNAcentral.